AGUGAUUCGACAAUCCAUCUAGAGUAUGCCAAGAAAUGUUCCGAAAACGUGGGGGCUUCUGGAAGAUGCUUUCCCCUGGAAAGCCAGUCGUUGAUAUCUGACAUGGACUUCGACUCACUUGUUGGUGAGUGCUUCCACCCCCUACGAAGUAUGAAGACAUGAAUGGACAAGCCAUGAAAAGUGAAUGAAACAUGCAGCAUCACUACAAUCCUGAGACAAAACCAUGGAAUGGAGGUCUCGGGUUCUUCGAGGCCGAGGAAAUUCAACACUCCACGAUCCGGUUUCGAAAGGUCAUGGUCACGGUUUUCUGGGACAAGCAAUGUGUUUUGAUGGCUGACCUCCAGAAGGGUGAAACAGUUAAUGCAGCAUAUUACUGGUGCACCGGCUCACAAAGCAGUCAAGACAAUGCAGGUUCUAAAGGCCUUGCGAUUUCAAUGCACUGAACAUCCACCGUACUCGCCGGAUCAUGCCGCAUCGGAGUCUU
Long non-coding RNA from Ornithodoros turicata, 484 nucleotides. RefSeq lists it as uncharacterized. The transcript has 4 exons. NCBI's taxonomy places the organism in Eukaryota, Metazoa, Arthropoda, Arachnida, Ixodida, Argasidae. The record is from RefSeq and is a predicted model, not a curated record.